This 232-nucleotide ribosomal RNA is filed under the name uncultured organism. RNAcentral describes it as "partial 12S ribosomal RNA". The record is from RNAcentral.
GCUUAGCCCUAAAUCCAGAUACUUACUCCACACAAGUAUCCGCCCGAGAACUACGAGCACAAACGCUUAAAACUCUAAGGACUUGGCGGGUGCUCCAAACCCACCUAGAGGAGCCUGUUCUAUAAUCGAUAACUCCACGAUACACCCGACCAUCUCUCCGCCCAUGCAGCCUACAUACCGCCGUCCCCAGCCCGCCUAAUGAAAGAACAAUAGCGAGCACAAUAGCCACCCC